RNAcentral lists this ribosomal RNA (468 nucleotides) under uncultured bacterium. RNAcentral describes it as "partial 16S ribosomal RNA". It matches the Rfam family "Bacterial small subunit ribosomal RNA", at positions 28 to 507 of the family's 1533-position model. The record is from RNAcentral.
GACGAACGCUGGCGGCGUGCUUAACACAUGCAAGUCGAACGGAAAGACCCUGCUUUUGUGGGGUGCUCGAGUGGCGAACGGGUGAGUAACACGUGAGUAACCUGCCCUUGACUUUGGGAUAACUUCAGGAAACUGGGGCUAAUACCGGAUAGGAGCUCCUGCUGCAUGGUGGGGGUUGGAAAGUUUCGGCGGUUGGGGAUGGACUCGCGGCUUAUCAGCUUGUUGGUGGGGUAGUGGCUUACCAAGGCUUUGACGGGUAGCCGGCCUGAGAGGGUGACCGGCCACAUUGGGACUGAGAUACGGCCCAGACUCCUACGGGGGGCAGCAGUGGGGAAUAUUGCACAAUGGGCGGAAGCCUGAUGCAGCAACGCCGCGUGCGGGAUGACGGCCUUCGGGUUGUAAACCGCUUUCGCCUGUGACGAAGCGUGAGUGACGGUAAUGGGUAAAGAAGCACCGGCUAACUACGUG